GUGAGAAUCUGGCUUCAGGUCGGGGACAACAGUUGGAAACGACUGCUAAUACCGGAUGUGCCGAGAGGUGAAAGAUUUAUNUGCCUGAAGAUGAGCUCGCGUCUGAUUAGCUAGUUGGUGAGGUAAGAGCUUACCAAGGCGACGAUCAGUAGCUGGUUUGAGAGGAUGAUCAGCCACACUGGGACUGAGACACGGCCCAGACUCCUACGGGAGGCAGCAGUGGGGAAUUUUCCGCAAUGGGCGAAAGCCUGACGGANCAAUACCGCGUGAGGGAGGANAGGCUCUUGGGUCGUAAACCUCUUUUCUCAAGGAAGAAAUUNNUGACGGUACUUGAGGAAUAAGCAUCGGCUAACUCCGUGCCAGCAGCCGCGGUAAUACGGAGGAUGCAAGCGUUAUCCGGAAUGAUUGGGCGUAAAGGGUCCGCAGGUGGAACUGAAAGUCUGCUGUUAAAGAAUUUGGCUCAACCAGAUAAAAGCAGUGGAAACUACAGAACUAGAGUAUGGUAGGGGUAGAAGGAAUUCCUAGUGUAGCGGUGAAAUGCGUAGAGAUUAGGAAGAACACCGGUGGCGAAAGCGUUCUACUAGACCAAGACUGACACUGAGGGACGAAAGCUAGGGGAGCGAANGGGA
RNAcentral lists this ribosomal RNA (629 nucleotides) under Anabaena sp. MOR173. RNAcentral describes it as "bacterial SSU rRNA". It matches the Rfam family "Bacterial small subunit ribosomal RNA", at positions 117 to 777 of the family's 1533-position model. The record is from RNAcentral. Lineage: Bacteria; Bacillati; Cyanobacteriota; Cyanophyceae; Nostocales; Nostocaceae.